Molecule: small RNA, 310 nt
Filed under: Histoplasma capsulatum
Lineage: Eukaryota; Fungi; Ascomycota; Eurotiomycetes; Onygenales; Ajellomycetaceae
Also listed under: 1 other name
Description: hypothetical RNA
Source: RNAcentral
UACCUUAGAUCCAGUGAGAAGCUUGCUAGGUUAGAGACUGGUUAGCAAGGUAUCUUCGGGCGGACCUACUAUCUGAUUUAACUUAUUGCUCCUGAGCUGGGAACCCGCAUUACAUGUACCAAUCCUGUCUCUCAUUUGAUUUUCCUAUGUUUACUAGUUAUAUCUUGGUGUGUUUUCAACACCAGCAUUCCUUCUGUAUAACCACUCUUGCCUGUGUUUAACAUCACUCAAGGACUCAUCAUAAGCACUGCUUGCAUACGAGUAUAACGGAAGAAGAAGAAGAAGAAGAAGAAGAAGAAGAAGAAGAAGA